UGAUGUUUCCAGAUGGCCCCGGAAAGGGGUAGAAGAGGAUAUACGCAUCUUCCUCCCGUCCUCUCUCUCUCUCUCUCCCGGGGCGACGGCUUCCACGGUCCGCGACGGCGGACACGCUGAACCCCACCCGUUUGCCCACGGCCAAGCAGGUACCAUUCUUUCUGUUCGCCGGUUGUCCAAUAGUCUCUUCUCUCUCUGUGAGUUCCAUAGAACGCGGCCAGAAACCUCUUGCUCUCAGUUUCCGUCGAUGUGCAAGCCGCCAGGCACCACUAGCUUUAUCCCCCUGUUCCCUCAAAUCCCUCUUCUCGCUGAGCUGGACACCGCCAGGAGCCACAUCCCACCUCAACGUCGGGCCAACGCCAGGAGGCAGCAGCGCCGCCCUUCCUCUCCUGGCACGGCGGCAACAUCUCGCAGGCAGCGCCCCACCCUGCCACCUGGCACACGGCCUGCAGGCUGCAGCAUCGCAAAGCCACUGUUCCAGUCGAGCGUCGCGUGCAACCAUGCAUUUUUUUAAUUCCCUUUGGUUUACACCCAUAACCAAUGUUUUUAAGUCCCUCUCUACUACUGCUGAAAGCCUGUUUGCUCAAGUAAGUUUGUCCUUCGCGCCUAAGGUGUUUUAACUGUGCGAUAUGCGUUCAGGAAUUCAAAACACUCGGUUAGCCAAAAAGUACUACAACUUGGCUGCUUGCCACUUUCACUAUAAAGAAAAGGUAUAUUCUCCCACUCCGUCUCUGGUGUGAUUAGCUUUUCGGGGUUGGGAUGUGUGAGUAUGUGGACUUUGAUAUCCGUAUCUACAUGAUCAAUUAUUGGUAAAAAGGUAUCUCAACCUUAAAUGUAUCUAUUAUACAUAGAAGAACUAUCAACUAAGUUCAUGUUUUACCUUAUAAUUAUACAGUUGAAACUUCGCAUGUUGUCCCUACGUACAUAAUUCUAUGGAUGCACAUUCUUUUUUUUCCCAAAAAAAAAUCUCACUUGAAAGAACGAAUAUAGGGAAUCCGAUCUACAUCUUCUUAAUUGUACACGAUUUGCUGGUCGUCUGUUAACACACUAUAUUUUUCCCUUCGCAUAUUUAUUUACAUAGUUUACCGGUCGUUUAUUAGCCCAAUUUCUAAUUGAUUCUACAGGUCAGCCCUCCGUGUGGAGCGAAAACAUCUCUAAUUCCCAGGGAUUUUAACUCCGAGCACAUCAGGUACGUUUGUUCAAUACAUCUAAUCUCCCAAAUCCAUCAGCUGCUUUGCCACCUAGAACGCAGUAAUGAAUAAAUAUCAUCACAUCAACAAACAAUGUAUCGCACAACUUUAGGUCUUGGCUUAUCCCCCAUUGAUAUAUAACUAAAUUAGACGCAGAGAAUCUACUUAAUAAGAUACGUAACAUAUUAAAUGCGUUUAAAUAUUAUGACUGCUUCACUAACAUAUUGUUCGAGCAUUUCUUUUACAUAACACUUUCUAAAACAUAAGAUAGAUAAGUAGUUGAAAUCACAUACACAAACUGCACUGCUCAACAGAUUCUACUCCUUUCUUUUUUAAAACAAAAGUUGUAUGUAAUAUAAAAGUUCUUAUAAGCAUCUGAGUAUAGCUCAGAACCAAACCAAACAAUUCAAUAAAUAGUUACAUAUACACACCAAUAGUUCUGUAUCAAAUCAUAGAAACGGAUUUCAAAUGUGAUGCACAAACCAACCUGACAGCAAACCGUUUUAAAAGUGGGGGAUGUUGCAUAUUCUCUUUCGCCUGGGAGCAAUAUACUCAGAAUAGCUACAAGAAAAAAAAUAUCUGUUAUCCUACGUACCCGAAAGGUACACAAAUCAUGAAAGCAUGAACAAAAAUAAGAUCUUCCACUCCCCAUUCAUCAGCACUCAACCUGAUAUCCCCCACCACACACACGAUCUUUUUACUUUCUUAUAUAAAUCGUGUGAUGUAUUCAUAUCCAUUCUGUGCUAUGUUCAAUGCUUAACAAGAAACAUUCUUACAUGUAGUUAAGAGAUCGCACUGUUGUUGUGCUUAUUAUUAUUUAAGCAGACAUUUUGUUCUUCUGAUGAUGUUAUUAUUUUUUUUUUUGCACGUCUCUUUGUUCCUUACUAAGGAUUCAAGUUUCUGUUAAUGUGCAUAUGUCAUAUUCUUUUUAUGUACAACUUUUCCAUAGCAUCUAACCAUCUAAAUAACCCCCGUGCUUAAAUACCAAAUUCCUAAAACGAGUUGUCUAGCUAAUCAGUCCAUUAGUAAAGUAAAUAAAACAACUCACUUUUUUAUAAUUCAUGAACAGGAUCAAGCAAGGACCCGUGCGCAUCCAAAAAGAAACUCCUAAGAAACCCUCCCAAGACUGAAUGCUACCUUCUACCAUCAGCAGCCUUUGAAGUUCUAAAGUGUUUAUUUUAUAUGUUAGUAUGCAUGUUCAACCUUUUGAAGACAAUUUGUGUAAACAUAACAACUUUGUUUUAGAUGUUGAAACAGGCAAAAAUAACCACCGUCAUAAAUUACCUAACUCUGUUUAAUAACUACUGUUCAACCUUCUGUGAUAUACAUGACCAACUUUCUUAAUUGUCACUUAUAUUUCAGAAUGUGUAUCUACAUUUUACAAAUGAUAUAACAUUAUUAUCACUUACAUUACAUUUUUCUACAACGCGCGCGGGGCGCGCACCCGUUACUAGUGUAUCUAAAUUGAACAGAUCUACUUAACUAUGGAUUUAGAGUAUCAAGAAUAACAUAGCGUGUUUGUUGAUAUAGCUGGCCAUUCUCAUAAAUCGCAGAUCGAGACCCUAAAUAUUUCCGUCGAAGAUAUAUUUUUAUUCUCUUUCCGAAGGAUCCAACCACGAAAAGAGAUAUAAGAAAUAAUAGUAAGACAUCCCCUCUCCAAUUGUUUAUUAUAAUAAAUUAUUUCUUUGUUGUAUAGAAAAAAAUAAAAAAUAUAGUGUGUUGAAGAUAUGAUUGGUAUUAUUCGUGUGUCUUGAGUUUCCUAGCGACCAAAGCCCACCAAAUCCGUAGCCUGCCCGUGUCCGGUGUGCGGUGCGCAGUGCUGGCGAUCCAAUCCAACGAGCCCUGUUCCUCCGCCGCGGUUCGGUAAGCGGUAAGCCACGUCCGCGUUCUAUGAACCACCAGAAGAACAGGCGGACCCUCGAAGCUGAUCGCGGUUCGCUUCUGUUCUCUUCCGCGAAAGGCGAACCCGUCCGUCUCGCGUGCUGACCCCAUCCCGUUCGCGUUCUCGGACUUCUAGAACCGCCACCGCCGCUACCCGCCUCAUUCUUCUGGCUUGGCUUGGCCUGGCCUCGGAACGGCUCACCAGCCCCACUGCCCCAGCACGGCGCGCCACACCCUCGGAACGGCUCACCUCACCGGUGCGCC
This 3335-nucleotide long non-coding RNA is filed under the name Zea mays. RNAcentral describes it as "long non-coding RNA (ZMAY_LNC002052)". Lineage: Eukaryota; Viridiplantae; Streptophyta; Magnoliopsida; Poales; Poaceae. The record is from RNAcentral.